GAUGAACGCUAGCUACAGGCUUAACACAUGCAAGUCGCGGGGCAGCAUGGGGGUUGCUUGCCACUCCCGAUGGCGACCGGCGCACGGGUGAGUAACGCGUAUCCAACCUGCCCUUCACCACGGGAUAACCCGGCGAAAGUCGGACUAAUACCGUAUGUUGUCCAUUGACGGCAUCCGAUUUGGACGAAAGGCUUUGCGGUGAAGGAUGGGGAUGCGUCCGAUUAGCCAGACGGCGGGGUAACGGCCCACCGUGGCUACGAUCGGUAGGGGUUCUGAGAGGAAGGUCCCCCACACUGGAACUGAGACACGGUCCAGACUCCUACGGGAGGCAGCAGUGAGGAAUAUUGGUCAAUGGGCGUAAGCCUGAACCAGCCAAGUAGCGUGCAGGAUGACGGCCCUAUGGGUUGUAAACUGCUUUUAUGCGGGGAUAAAGUGGCCCACGGGUGGGCUUUUGCAGGUACCGCAUGAAUAAGAACCGGCUAAUUCCGUG
This 490-nucleotide ribosomal RNA is filed under the name uncultured bacterium. Its description in RNAcentral is "partial 16S ribosomal RNA". It matches the Rfam family "Bacterial small subunit ribosomal RNA", at positions 28 to 507 of the family's 1533-position model. The record is from RNAcentral.